This 70-nucleotide transfer RNA is filed under the name Marmota monax (woodchuck). Its description in RNAcentral is "tRNA.Ala". It matches the Rfam family "tRNA". Rfam says of the family: Transfer RNA (tRNA) molecules are approximately 80 nucleotides in length. Lineage: Eukaryota; Metazoa; Chordata; Mammalia; Rodentia; Sciuridae. The record is from RNAcentral.
GGGCUGUAGCUCAGUGGUAGAGACCUUGCCUAGCAUGUGAGAAGCCCUGGGUUCCAUCCCAGCACCACCA